RNAcentral lists this ribosomal RNA (497 nucleotides) under uncultured bacterium. RNAcentral's name for it is "partial 16S ribosomal RNA". It matches the Rfam family "Bacterial small subunit ribosomal RNA", at positions 28 to 507 of the family's 1533-position model. The record is from RNAcentral.
GAUGAACGCUGGCGGCGUGCCUAAUACAUGCAAGUCGAGCGAACAGAUAAGGAGCUUGCUCCUUUGACGUUAGCGGCGCACGGGUGAGUAACACGUGGGUAACCUACCUAUAAGACUGGAAUAACUCCGGGAAACCGGGGCUAACGCCGGAUAACAUUUAGAACCGCAUGGUUCUAUAGUGAAAGAUGGUUUUGCUAUCACUUAUAGAUGGACCCGCGCCGUAUUAGCUAGUUGGUAAGGUAACGGCUUACCAAGGCAACGAUACGUAGCCGACGUGAGAGGGUGAUAGGCCACACGGGAACGGAAACGCGGUCCAGAGUCCUGCGGGAGGCAGCAGUAGGGAAUCGGACGCAGUGGGCGAGAGCCUGACGGAGCAACGCCGCGUGAGUGAUGAAAGUCUUCGGAGCGUAAAGCUGGGUUAUUAGGGAAGAACAGAUGUGUAAGUAACUGUACACGUCGUGACGGUACCUGAUCAGAAAGCCACGGCUAACUACGUG